CAAUGUGUGGCAUACGGCUCAGUAACACGUAGUCAACAUGCCCAGGGGACGUGGAUAACCUCGGGAAACUGAGGAUAAACCGCGAUAGGUCACUACUUCUGGAAUGGGUAAUGACCCAAACCUAUAUGGCCCCUGGAUUGGACUGCGGCCGAUCAGGCUGUUGGUGAGGUAAUGGCCCACCAAACCUGUAACCGGUACGGGCUCUGAGAGGAGGAGCCCGGAGAUGGGCACUGAGACAAGGGCCCAGGCCCUAUGGGGCGCAGCUGGCGCGAAACCUCUGCAAUAGGCGAAAGCUUGACAGGGUUACUCUGAGUGAUUUCCGUUAAGGAGAUCUUUUGGCACCUCUAAAAAUGGUGCAGAAUAAGGGGUGGGCAAGUCUGGUGUCAGCCGCCGCGGUAAUACCAGCACCCCGAGUGGUCGGGACGUUUAUUGGGCCUAAAGCAUCCGUAGCCGGUUCUACAAGUCUUCCGUUAAAUCCACCUGCUCAACAGAUGGGCUGCGGAAGAUACUAUGGAGCUAGGAGGCGGGAGAGGCAAGCGGUACUCGAUGGGUAGGGGUAAAAUCCGUUGAUCCAUUGAAGACCACCAGUGGCGAAGGCGGCUUGCCAGAACGCGCUCGACGGUGAGGGAUGAAAGCUGGGGGAGCAAACCGGAUUAGAUACCCGGGUAGUCCCAGCUGUAAACGAUGCAGACUCGGUGAUGAGUUGGCUUUAUGCCAACUCAGUGCCGCAGGGAAGCCGUUAAGUUUGCCGCCUGGGGAGUACGGUCGCAAGACUGAAACUUAAAGGAAUUGGCGGGGGAGCACCACAAGGGGUGAAGCCUGCGGUUCAAUUGGAUUCAACGCCGG
This 846-nucleotide ribosomal RNA is filed under the name uncultured archaeon. Its description in RNAcentral is "bacterial SSU rRNA". It matches the Rfam family "Archaeal small subunit ribosomal RNA", at positions 72 to 921 of the family's 1478-position model. The record is from RNAcentral.